CCAUUUGACCCCCAACAAAAUUAAAAAUACCCAUUUUGUACUCAAUUAAAAAAAAGGAACGAAUCAGACUUUUGCAAGAUCGAUUUGCUAUCGACGAGAAGCAGAAGCCAUGAUCGUCGCAUGCUGGUCGUCGAACGCAACAGAGUCAGUUGUCGUGCAUCAUCAUCACACACAUCACCAUUGCACGCUAUGCAAAUCGUCAGCCUCGCUCCACUGAUCGUCACUUGUCGUCUGCAGUACCCCUCGAUCGUCGCUGCCACUCUCCGAACUUCACUGCUACUUGUCAAUAAAAAAGUUGCUGCCGUCACUGUUGCUUGCCGGUGAUUUAUAAUUUUGUUGUUAUGAUG
RNAcentral lists this long non-coding RNA (347 nucleotides) under Citrus sinensis (sweet orange). RNAcentral's name for it is "long non-coding RNA (CSIN_LNC002594)". Lineage: Eukaryota; Viridiplantae; Streptophyta; Magnoliopsida; Sapindales; Rutaceae. The record is from RNAcentral.